UACGGAGGGUGCAAGCGUUGCUCGGAAUUAUUGGGCGUAAAGGGUAGGUAGGUGGUCUCGUUUGUCUGGGGUGAAAGCCUUGAGCUUAACUCAAGAAGUGCCCCAGAAACGGCGAGACUAGAGUCCUGGAGAGGGUCGUGGAAUUCCCGGUGUAGCGGUGAAAUGCGUAGAGAUCGGGAGGAACACCAGAGGCGAAAGCGGCGACCUGGACAGCGACUGACACUCAACUACGAAAGCGUGGGGAGCAAACAGG
RNAcentral lists this ribosomal RNA (253 nucleotides) under uncultured bacterium. Its description in RNAcentral is "partial 16S ribosomal RNA". It matches the Rfam family "Bacterial small subunit ribosomal RNA", at positions 524 to 776 of the family's 1533-position model. The record is from RNAcentral.